CCCAGACUCCUACGGGAGGCAGCAGUGGGGAAUAUUGCACAAUGGGGGAAACCCUGAUGCAGCGACGCCGCGUGAGUGAAGAAGUAUUUCGGUAUGUAAAGCUCUAUCAGCAGGGAAGAAAAUGGCGGUACCUGAUUAAGAAGCCCCGGCUAACUACGUGCCAGCAGCCGCGGUAAUACGUAGGGGGCAAGCGUUAUCCGGAAUUACUGGGUGUAAAGGGAGCGUAGACGGCUGUGCAAGUCUGGAGUGAAAGGCGGGGGCUCAACCCCCGGACUGCUCUGGAAACUGUAUGGCUGGAGUGCAGGAGAGGUAAGCGGAAUUCCUAGUGUAGCGGUGAAAUGCGUAGAUAUUAGGAGGAACACCAGUGGCGAAGGCGGCUUUCUGGACAUUAACUGACGCUGAGGCUCGAAAGCGUGGGGAGCAAACAGGAUUAGAUACCCGAGUAUA
Molecule: ribosomal RNA, 447 nt
Filed under: uncultured bacterium
Lineage: Bacteria
Description: bacterial SSU rRNA
Rfam family: Bacterial small subunit ribosomal RNA
Source: RNAcentral